GUGGGGAAUAUUGCACAAUGGGCGAAAGCCUGAUGCAGCAACGCCGCGUGAGGGACGACGGCCUUCGGGUUGUAAACCUCUUUUAGUAGGGAAGAAGCGAAAGUGACGGUACCUGCAGAAAAAGCACCGGCUAACUACGUGCCAGCAGCCGCGGUAAUACGUAGGGUGCAAGCGUUAUCCGGAAUUAUUGGGCGUAAAGAGCUCGUAGGCGGUCUGUCGCGUCUGCUGUGAAAACUGGAGGCUCAACCUCCAGCCUGCAGUGGGUACGGGCAGACUAGAGUGCGGUAGGGUAGAUUGGAAUUCCUGGUGUAGCGGUGGAAUGCGCAGAUAUCAGGAGGAACACCGAUGGCGAAGGCAGAUCUCUGGGCCGUAACUGACGCUGAGGAGCGAAAGCGUGGGGAGCGAACAGGAUUAGAAACCCGUGUAGUCC
Molecule: ribosomal RNA, 430 nt
Filed under: uncultured bacterium
Lineage: Bacteria
Description: partial 16S ribosomal RNA
Rfam family: Bacterial small subunit ribosomal RNA
Source: RNAcentral